UGAGAAACUAUUGAAUGGUGUUGUUGGGGUUUACAAUUUCAUCUUAUCCACUCUCAUAUAUAUACUCUUCUUAUUUACUUCACUUAUUUAUCUAAUUGUCAUGCACACUUUCUUAUUUACCCUUAACCCAAUCCCUUCGUGAAAAGAGCCUAUUAUUAAUUACCGGCUUGCUAUCCCCAGCCUCCCUUAGUAACCAAUAAUGCAAUGUGAUUAGAAGUAAUUACAAUUGACCGU
RNAcentral lists this long non-coding RNA (234 nucleotides) under Vigna radiata. RNAcentral describes it as "long non-coding RNA (VRAD_LNC011641)". The record is from RNAcentral. Lineage: Eukaryota; Viridiplantae; Streptophyta; Magnoliopsida; Fabales; Fabaceae.